UGAGCAACCUGCCCUUGACUCUGGAAUAACAGCUGGAAACAGCUGCUAAUACCGGAUACGACCUCCGAUGGCAUCAUCUGGAGGUGGAAAGCUCCGACGGUCAAGGAUGGGCUCGCGGCCUAUCAGCUUGUUGGUGAGGUAACGGCUCGCCAAGGCUUCGACGGGUAGCCGGCCUGAGGAGGGCCGACCGGCCACACUGGGACUGAGAUACCGGCCCAGACCU
This 223-nucleotide ribosomal RNA is filed under the name uncultured bacterium. RNAcentral describes it as "partial 16S ribosomal RNA". It matches the Rfam family "Bacterial small subunit ribosomal RNA", at positions 118 to 338 of the family's 1533-position model. The record is from RNAcentral.